UACGUAGGGUGCGAGCGUUGUCCGGAAUUAUUGGGCGUAAAGAGCUCGUAGGCGGUCUGUCGCGUCGGUCGUGAAAACUUGGGGCUUAACCCUGAGCUUGCGGUCGAUACGGGCAUGACUGGAGUUCGGUAGGGGAGACUGGAAUUCCUGGUGUAGCGGUGAAAUGCGCAGAUAUCAGGAGGAACACCAAUGGCGAAGGCAGCUCGCUGGGACGGUACUGACGCUGAGGCGCGAAAGCGUGGGGAGCAAACAGG
This 254-nucleotide ribosomal RNA is filed under the name uncultured bacterium. RNAcentral's name for it is "partial 16S ribosomal RNA". It matches the Rfam family "Bacterial small subunit ribosomal RNA", at positions 524 to 776 of the family's 1533-position model. The record is from RNAcentral.